GUACACUCCUGCGGGAGGCAGCAGUGAGGAAUAUUGGACAAUGGGUGGAAGCCUGAUCCAGCCAUCCCGCGUGCAGGAAGACGGCCCUAUGGGUUGUAAACUGCUUUUAUCUGGGGAUAAACCUACUUACGUGUAAGUAGCUGAAGGUACCAGAAGAAUAAGCACCGGCUAACUCCGUGCCAGCAGCCGCGGUAAUACGGAGGGUGCAAGCGUUAUCCGGAUUUAUUGGGUUUAAAGGGUCCGUAGGCGGACUGAUAAGUCAGUGGUGAAAUCCGACAGCUUAACUGUCGAACUGCCAUUGAUACUGUUAGUCUUGAGUAAGGUUGAAGUGGCUGGAAUAAGUAGUGUAGCGGUGAAAUGCAUAGAUAUUACUUAGAACACCAAUUGCGAAGGCAAGUCACUAAGUCUUAACUGACGCUGAUGGACGAAAGCGUGGGGAGCGAACAGGAUUAGAAACCCCAGUAGUCCCAUG
RNAcentral lists this ribosomal RNA (472 nucleotides) under uncultured organism. RNAcentral describes it as "partial 16S ribosomal RNA". It matches the Rfam family "Bacterial small subunit ribosomal RNA", at positions 331 to 799 of the family's 1533-position model. The record is from RNAcentral.